This 253-nucleotide ribosomal RNA is filed under the name uncultured bacterium. RNAcentral describes it as "partial 16S ribosomal RNA". It matches the Rfam family "Bacterial small subunit ribosomal RNA", at positions 524 to 776 of the family's 1533-position model. The record is from RNAcentral.
UACGUAGGGUGCAAGCGUUGUCCGGAAUUAUUGGGCGUAAAGAGCUCGUAGGCGGUUUGUUGCGUCGGCUGUGAAAUCCCGAGGCUCAACCCCGGGUCUGCAGUCGAUACGAGCAAACUAGAGUGUUGCAGGGGAGACUGGAAUUCCUGGUGUAGCGGUGAAAUGCGCAGAUAUCAGGAGGAACACCGGUGGCGAAGGCGGGUCUCUGGGCAACAACUGACGCUGAGGAGCGAAAGCGUGGGGAGCGAACAGG